GGACUGGCGCAGCCUGGAGGGAGGCAUCAGGCAGUGGCGGAAAAGGGGCGGAGAACCGGAGAAAAGGGCGGAGAACCGGAGAAAAGGGCGGAGAACCGGAGAAAAGGGCGGAGAACCGGGAAAAGGGCGGAGAACCGGGAAAAGGUCAAGACCUGUACGUACCUCUCGCGCAGGCUCGGGUUGCGUUCUGGUAGGACGUACGUGUUUCUGAGCGCUUGGUGGAAAGAUUUAAAUGGGGGGAAGAGAAGAUGAAAAGCAGGAAAGAGUUGGCAAAUACUAACCAACCGAUAAAGGAAGAGAAAGGAGGACUGUACAUAACAGAAAUUAUCAUCAGCUGGUGAGGAAAGUGGACUCUACCAUAUUUAAUCCCCAAGUCGACGGGCACUUAUUCAAGGCCCGGAUGUUUAAUCGUUUUUAAUUUUCUCUACAACUUGUGAGAUAAAUCUUAACAUUCUCAUUUGGCUCAGACAUUAAAUUCGGAACUGGUUAGCUCUCUUAACUCCAAAGCCUAAUUAUGUUCUUCUUUCCUCAGCAGACAUCGUAGUUUCAAACAAUUUAGGGAUGUCCUGACAGCUUUAUCCUAAUGGUUAUCCUAAUGGUCCUUGGUGACUUUUUAAACACCCUCUUGGAACAUGUUGGAGGAUGUGCAGAUCGAACAAAAAUCUUGAAACGUGGUCAUCCAACUGCAUUAUUAAGUAAUCUUUAGCGGGGAAUAGCCCUUGAAACUAGCUCCAGAUAUUUCUG
RNAcentral lists this long non-coding RNA (744 nucleotides) under Homo sapiens (human). RNAcentral's name for it is "non-protein coding lnc-TBC1D30-1:4". Lineage: Eukaryota; Metazoa; Chordata; Mammalia; Primates; Hominidae. The record is from RNAcentral.